UGACCACUCCCCGGGGAGUUAAGCCCAUACGGACAGGCGGGUCAGUUGCCG
Molecule: small RNA, 51 nt
Filed under: Clostridium porci
Lineage: Bacteria; Bacillati; Bacillota; Clostridia; Eubacteriales; Clostridiaceae
Also listed under: 1 other name
Description: Streptococcus sRNA SpF59 (ldcC RNA)
Rfam family: Streptococcus sRNA SpF59 (ldcC RNA)
Source: RNAcentral